Molecule: non-coding RNA, 78 nt
Organism: Megalops atlanticus (tarpon)
Lineage: Eukaryota; Metazoa; Chordata; Actinopteri; Elopiformes; Megalopidae
Source: the annotation of a GenBank genome assembly
GGCAGUGUAGCGUAGUGGUAAGGCACAGGGCUCAUAACCAAAAGGUUGCUGGUUCAACUCCUCAUCAGGCCACUGCUA